RNAcentral lists this ribosomal RNA (305 nucleotides) under uncultured bacterium. RNAcentral describes it as "bacterial SSU rRNA". It matches the Rfam family "Bacterial small subunit ribosomal RNA", at positions 337 to 634 of the family's 1533-position model. The record is from RNAcentral.
GCCUACGGGGCGCAGCAGUAGGGAAUCUUCCACAAUGGGCGAAAGCCUGAUGGAGCAACGCCGCGUGGGUGAAGAAGGUCUUCGGAUCGUAAAACCCUGUUGUUAGAGAAGAAAGUGCGUGAGAGUAACUGUUCACGUUUCGACGGUAUCUAACCAGAAAGCCACGGCUAACUACGUGCCAGCAGCCGCGGUAAUACGUAGGUGGGAAGCGUUAUCCGGAUUUAUUGGGCGUAAAGGGAACGCAGGCGGGCUUUUAAGUCUGAUGUGAAAGCCUUCGGCGUAACCGGAGUGGUGCAUUGGAAACG